AUACGUAGGGAGCAAGCGUUGUCCGGAUUUACUGGGUGUAAAGGGUGCGUAGGCGGCUCUGCAAGUCAGGCGUGAAAACCAUGGGCUUAACCCAUUGGAUUGCGUUUGAAACUGUGGGGCUUGAGUGAAGUAGAGGUAGGCGGAAUUCCCGGUGUAGCGGUGAAAUGCGUAGAGAUCGGGAGGAACACCAGUGGCGAAGGCGGCUUACUGGGCUUUAACUGACGCUGAGGCACGAAAGCAUGGGUAGCAAACAGGAUUAGAUACCCUGGUAGUCCAUGCCGUAAACGAUGAUUACUAGGUGUGGGGGGUCUGACCCCUUCCGUGCCGGAGUUAACACAAUAAGUAAUCCACCUGGGGAGUACGGCCGCAAGGUUGAA
Molecule: ribosomal RNA, 377 nt
Filed under: uncultured bacterium
Lineage: Bacteria
Description: bacterial SSU rRNA
Rfam family: Bacterial small subunit ribosomal RNA
Source: RNAcentral